AGUCCCCUGCUGCGUGCGAUAGGGCCCAUUUUUUCCGAACCGAUAGCUUCCUUUGGUUGCGGGCCCAUGGUUACUGUUGUGAUCGUCCCACCGUUUGUGUGCCGGAUGAGCCUGAUGUGACCGGAAUGCAACCGCCCUGUUUAGCCAGGGUUCGGGAGCCGGGCCCGCCGGCGCAAGCGGGGGACAC
RNAcentral lists this non-coding RNA (187 nucleotides) under Betaproteobacteria bacterium. RNAcentral's name for it is "6S RNA". It matches the Rfam family "6S / SsrS RNA". Rfam says of the family: E. coli 6S RNA was the first non coding RNA to be sequenced, but its function was unknown until recently. It consists of 184 nucleotides that fold into an extended hairpin structure with a large single-stranded internal bulge. The 6S RNA specifically associates with RNA polymerase holoenzyme containing the sigma70 specificity factor. Lineage: Bacteria; Pseudomonadati; Pseudomonadota; Betaproteobacteria. The record is from RNAcentral.